AUUGAACGCUGGCGGCAGGCUUAACACAUGCAAGUCGAGCGAGCGGCGGACGGGUGAGUAAUGUCUGGGAAACUGCCUGAUGGAGGGGGAUAACUACUGGAACCGGUAGCUAAUACCGCAUACCAUCAGAUGUGCCCAGAUGGGAUUAGCUCGUAGGUGGGGUAAUGGCUCACCAAGGCGACGAUCCCUAGCUGGUCUGAGAGGAUGACCAGCAACUCUGAACAUGAGACACGGGCCAGACUCCUACGGGAGGCAGCAUUGGGGAACAUUGCACAUUGGGCGCAAGCCUGAUGCAGCCAUGCCGCGUGUGUGAAGAAGGCCUUCGGGUUGUAAAGCACUUUAAGCGAGGAGGCGUUACUCGCAGAAGAAGCACCGGCUAACUCCGUGCCAGCAGCCGCGGUAAUAC
RNAcentral lists this ribosomal RNA (406 nucleotides) under uncultured bacterium. RNAcentral's name for it is "partial 16S ribosomal RNA". It matches the Rfam family "Bacterial small subunit ribosomal RNA", at positions 30 to 526 of the family's 1533-position model. The record is from RNAcentral.